This 444-nucleotide ribosomal RNA is filed under the name uncultured bacterium. RNAcentral's name for it is "bacterial SSU rRNA". It matches the Rfam family "Bacterial small subunit ribosomal RNA", at positions 29 to 507 of the family's 1533-position model. The record is from RNAcentral.
AACGAACGCUGGCGGUAUGCUUAACACAUGCAAGUCGAACGAACAUAUUGAUUCGGUUAAUAAGUUAGUGGCAGACGGGUGAGUAACGCGUGGGAAUGUACCCUUUAGUUCAGAAUAACUACGGGAAACUGUAGCUAAUACUGGAUAAGCCCUUCGGGGGAAAGAUUAAUCGCUAAAGGAACAGCCCGCGUUAGAUUAGGUAGUUGGUGAGGUAAAAGCUCACCAAGCCGACGAUCUAUAGCUGGUUUGAGAGGAUGAUCAGCCACACUGGGACUGAGACACGGCCCAGACUCCUACGGGAGGCAGCAGUGGGGAAUAUUGGACAAUGGGGGCAACCCUGAUCCAGCAAUACCGCGUGAGUGAAGAAGGCCUUCGGGUUGUAAAGCUCUUUUACCGGGGAAGAUAAUGACGGUACCCGGGGAAUAAGCUCCGGCUAACUUCGUG